Trachymyrmex cornetzi is the source of this 89-nucleotide long non-coding RNA. RefSeq lists it as uncharacterized. Lineage: Eukaryota; Metazoa; Arthropoda; Insecta; Hymenoptera; Formicidae. The record is from RefSeq and is a predicted model, not a curated record. The transcript is spliced from 3 exons.
UAUUUUAGUUCACAAUUGACGCCUACCACUUUUGGCACGGAAUGUUUUAAAAAGCCUACCACUUAACCGGUUAAUUUAUUAGAGCGAAA